RNA transcript from Topomyia yanbarensis, 1819 nucleotides. RefSeq lists it as uncharacterized. NCBI's taxonomy places the organism in Eukaryota, Metazoa, Arthropoda, Insecta, Diptera, Culicidae. The transcript has 3 exons. The record is from RefSeq and is a predicted model, not a curated record.
UCCGACUUUUGUUUGAAGAGCCGCCACUGUGCGACGUGCAGAAGAAGCGCUAUGGAAGGCAGCACAAGGUGAAAUGUUUCCGGACGAAAUCGCCGUUCUCGUCAAAACGCAAGGACCACCCGAACAGCGUCACCAAAUCGUACAGAGGUCCAGUGAUAUUUACACUAAAUGGUCUUUCCUCGACGAAAGAGGAAUCCUGCGGAGUCGAGGCCAAAUCGGUGCUGCACCUUACGCGCCGACCGAAGCUAAGUUCCCUGUAAUCCUCCCCAAUCAACACCUAAUUACCUUUUUAAUUGUAGACUGGUUCCAUCGUCGCUACCACCACGCCAACCGAGAGACCAUCUUCAACGAAAUUCGCCAACGUUUUGAAAUCCCGAAGCUGAGACGGCUGUUGGACAAAGUUGUGAGCAAAUGUACAUGGUGUCGCAUCGUGAAGGCUGCACCGACACCACCUGCCAUGGCCCCGCUUCCUGAGAUGCGCUUGAAGGCUUUCGUUCAACCCUUCACAUUUACUGGGUUGGAUUACUUCGGUCCGGUGCUGGUUAAGGUGGGCAGAAGCAAUGCAAAGCGGUGGGUGGCCCUUUUCACCUGUCUCACCACCAGAGCUAAACACUUGGAGGUGGUACAUUCAUUGAGCACAGAGUCGUGCAUCAUGGCGGUCCAACGUUUUGUAUCGUGCCGCGGUAUACCGAAGGAGUUCUGGUCCGAUAAUGCGACUUGCUUCCAAGGCACGAGCAACGAGUUAAAGGCACACACCGAAGCAAACAAGGCGCUGGUCGAGAAAUUCACUACGGUGCAGACUACGUGGAAGUUCAUCCCACCAGCAACACCACACAUGGGCGGUGUGUGGGAAAGGCUUGUUCGCUCUGUUAAGGUAGCGACUGAGGCAGUGCUGAACGGUCCUCGUCGGCCAGACGAUGAGACACUCGAAACGAUCCUACUUGAAGCGGAAUCAAUGAUAAACUCAAGGCCACUCACUUAUAUCCCACUAGAACAUGCAGAUCAAGAAGCGCUGACGCCUAACCAUUUUUUGUUGGGAAACUCAUCCGGCUGCAAAUUCCUCCCAACGAAGGCGGUGGACUGUCGUAUGGCCCUUAGAAGCAGUUGGAAAUUAGCCAGAUUCAUCACCGAAGAGUUCUGGCGCAGGUGGCUGAAGGAAUACCUUCCAGCUAUCACACGCAGAUGCAAAUGGUUCCACGACGUUAAGGAUCUGGAAAUCGGCGAUCUGGUCUUGGUGGUUGGUGGGACGGCAAGGAACCAGUGGAUUCGGAGACGGAUUGAGACGACCAUCCCAGGACGAGAUGGCAGAGUGCGGCAAGCGUUGGUGCGAACCUUGACGGGGAUCAUUCGAAGACCAGCCGUGAAGCUGGCUGUGUUGGACGUCCUUGAUGAAAGUAAACCUGCUCCUCGCGUUGCGGAACUUCACCUAGGUUUACGAGCAGGGGUAUGUGCCGACAGAACCCAUCGUAUCGGCAACGCUGCCGAUCGCAGUCACACUGCUCGACGCGGCGCAGCACCGGAUGGUGGCACUGACGUACGAGAACGUCAGUUGAGACAACGUAAGGGUGAAAAAUCUGCACAGUCAUUCGAAGAAGGACUACCACAUGGUGAAUUCUUCAUCACAAUUUAUUAAUAAAAUCUCCAGAUCCAAUCCACACGUGUGGGACAGUGACGACCUAUUCCUUCCACUGGAUUCUUACGGUCACCAAAUUUCUUAAAGCUGAUUAUACAAAAAAUUGAGUUUGCUGUUGAGAGUUGGUGCAACCUAUCCCCACAAUAUGAAAUGAUUGAAAUGAAGAAAUGGAUUAUAUGAAUGGAU